UCCCAUUUCAUUCUACAGUUUCAAAAAUGAGGAGGCAUUCGUUUGCUUAGAGGUACAAUUUCUCGAACCUAUUCCAGCAAUUCCCCUGGACGGCACACCAACACCAGUGAAAUUGCUGUCGUCGCCCAAUCCCUCCCCAAGCCACCUCUCCCCCUCUGUCCAGAGCAACUACAUCGCACACCCUCUGAAUUCAGACAAAAAUUCAGAAGAAAACAGGACUUACCGGAGGCCGAGUUCCGCGCCUGCGCCGCCCACGGGGAUGGCGCCGCCGAAGGGUAGGACGCCAGGACACGUAGCUCCGCACCUCCGCUGCCUACGGCGCUAGAGUCCGCCGUCCACGGCGCAGCCAGGAGACGCUCGUGCCGCCACAUCGUCGAUCACCACCACCUGCGACAUCCCUUACCGUAGGUCAUCAUCAGGACCCACAGCUCCUCCGUCACAUCUCCUCACCGCCGUCACCACCUCGAGCUCCCCGCGCUCGCGCUCGAGCUCCCGCCGGGAUACAUGCCGCGGGCAUCGGUCGUAGCAUAGCCCAGCGGCAUCCUCCGCCUCCUCCCCCAUCCCCGAAGUCCAGCCUCGCUGGUCGCCUCCAUCGAAGCCACGACGCGCGAGCUCGGCUCCACUUGUCCUCCUCGAACGUCCGUCGUGGACGCACUCCUCCUCAAGCGGUGGAGAAGGAGGGAGCCACGUACGGCGGCGAAAGAGGUUGGGCGCCGAUAGCCGCGACCAGAGGAGGGGAGCUGAUGGAGACAUCAGAGGGACGAGCGGCGCUGCCGGUGGAGCGCGGGGGGUGAACACGCCGCCGGGGGAGAAGAAUCCCGCGCGGGGAGGUGGGCGGGCGGUCGGCGUUGGAAGUGAGUGGGGAUAGACAGGAUAAAGGAGCUGGG
Molecule: ribosomal RNA, 887 nt
Filed under: Triticum aestivum (bread wheat)
Lineage: Eukaryota; Viridiplantae; Streptophyta; Magnoliopsida; Poales; Poaceae
Description: partial small subunit ribosomal RNA
Source: RNAcentral